GUGGUUACUUGCUAUAGCUACAGUGCCAUGGUGAUUGUAGAAAUUGAAUUAACAAAAGUAAUAAUAAAAAAAGUGUUCAUGAAUAUGACUACAAAAAAUGAAUGAUACAAAAAGCAUAAAUUAGAGAACUGAAUAAACCAAAUACAUAAAGUGAAUAAUUUUUAUGGAAAUUUUGUAAUAAAAAGUAACUUACGACAAUAUUGUAGUUGUAGUGAGUCACUAUACUAUCAGUGUUCCUCUUUAUUUACCUUAAUAAUACAUACAUAAAACAUUGAAU
RNAcentral lists this unclassified non-coding RNA (277 nucleotides) under Hevea brasiliensis (rubber tree). Lineage: Eukaryota; Viridiplantae; Streptophyta; Magnoliopsida; Malpighiales; Euphorbiaceae. The record is from RNAcentral.